Molecule: ribosomal RNA, 450 nt
Filed under: uncultured bacterium
Lineage: Bacteria
Description: bacterial SSU rRNA
Rfam family: Bacterial small subunit ribosomal RNA
Source: RNAcentral
UCGAGAAUAUUCGACAAUGGGCGAAAGCCUGAUCGAGCGACGCCGCGUGCAGGAUGAAGGCCCUCGGGUUGUAAACUGCGGUAGUAGGGGAGGAACGCAAGUGACUGUACCCUACGGAAAGUGGUUGGUAACUACGUGCCAGCACCAGCGGUAAUACGUAGACCACAAGCGUUAUCCGGAUUUAUUGGGCGUAAAGAGCAUGUAGGAGGUCCGGUGCGUCUCUGGUUAAAGCCCACCGCCUAACGGUGGAAGUGCCAGAGAUACGAUCGGACUGGAGGAUGUGAGAGGUGCAUGGAACUCACGGUGUAGGGGUGAAAUCCGUUGAUAUCGUGGGGAACACCAGUGGCGAAGGCGACCACCUGGACUAAUACUGACACUGAGGUGCGAAAGCGUGGGGAGCAAACAGGAUUAGAUACCCCCGUAGUCCCUGAGCGGGCUGGCAAGGCGCAU